AACAGACGUUAGCUCAGGGCCAAUCUUCCUCAUCAAAAAAAUAUAUACAUAUAUACCUAUGAUUUUAGUAAAGAGAAUUUCUAGGAAAUGUGAGCUCUUAUUGUAUCUACAGCCUUAAUAAAUAAAUAUAAACUUGUACUUUCAUGUACCAUUCAGGUUAGGGCAUUUUACCUUUUGGAUAUUUCUAAUGUGCAUUGGUGGGAAAAGAUAUUUUAUUUACUCCUUGUAUACUCAUCAAUUUAUUGCAUAUCAAUAAGAACCUAUUCAUUUAAAUGAGUUUAUUCAUGUAAUAAGAAAAAUUUUUAAUGAAAACUGCUUGAUUUGUGUGUGUGUGUGUGUGUAUUAUAUCCAUAGCUUGUUAUUCUUAGUUUUGGCCUGAAACUAUGAAUUCUUUUGCUUUUGAAAUUCUUAAGUUUUUCCUGUGAAUACUCAAAUAUUCUUUUCCCAUGACUUUUAUCAAAAUGAUUUUGAGCUGUUUAUAACAAAAUAGAGGCUCUGUGGUAUAAGAUCCCAAAGGAUUAUAUAAUCCCCAUAAUUCUAGGAGAUAUACUAAAAGAAAGAAUGCAUAAUUGUGAUGUUAGGUUAAACCAUUAAUUUUAUGUAGAAAUAUGAUUUCUUAAUUACAGAAAUCAGUCAUCAUUUUGUUCUGGAGUACUUUAAUACUAUUUUAAAGCUCUAAGAAGUAGAUAAUCAACAAUUAUAAGCGAUUAGAAAUUCCAAAUGUUAACAUAAGCAAAAUAGAAAGAAAUUUCUUUAAUAAUUUUUUACAUGAUUAAAGAAGAAACUUUUAAAAAGCAGAAUAACAUUGGAUUAACCUUACUUUUGAUGGCACAACUCCACUCUUAAAUAAAGACAUUUUCAUUUUAGGGAUUAACAAGAAUUAGCAGAAUAACUAAGUAAAAUGAAGACAGAAAAGAGAGGAAUUACCUGGGAUGUCAUAAUCCUAUUACUCAACAAUGAGGUAAAAUAAAAUUCCAAGAAGGAAAAGAAAAGGUGAGAAAAGAAGAGAAAACAGAAAAGUGAGACAGACAAAAAGAAAAAGGAUCAAAAUUGGGAUUACUUCACAGUUUUCAAUGUAUCUGACAGAAAAAGAAGGAAUGGAAGGAUAGAGGAGGCAGAUCUUCCAAUGGAACGGAUGCUCUUCUGAGAUAUGAUGACCCAAAAUGUAGCAAAAAAGUAGGACCAUCUUCUGAGACACAGUACCACACCAAACAAGAUGCAGAUGGAGAAAGGCAAAGAGAGGGGAAGACAGGAGAAGAAAGGAAUGAAGCAUGAGAGAACAAAUGUGGUUAAACAAAAAAAAGGAAUAAAGUAAUUUUCAAGUUUUAAUAAAAUUUAGCACUGGAGAUUACAGCAACAAAAGUACUAUAGAGAGAUGCUUUUUAGAGACAGGGUUCUUUUUCAGUUUUGUUUUGUCUUUUUGAAACUACAAAUCUUAUCUAGUUUUGUACUCCACUUUCUUUGUCAAAAUUAAAUUUUUCUUCAGUUUUAUUGAGGUAUGAUUGACAAUCAUUGUAUUUAUUUAAGGUGUACAAGAGAGGGUUCUUUUACAUAUGGUCUAUCAAAGUCUUUUUCAGGAGUAAUAAGAAAUGCAUAUUGUGCCACAGCUUAUAAAAGACAUAUUUAAUAUCUGGUUAAAAACCACUUAUAAGUCCACAUUAAUUUCCAUUUAUUUCAACAUAAACAUUUAUAAAUCCUUCCUGAUAAUACUGGUCUAGAACAGAGUAAAGAAUAUGUUUUCCUCAUUAUGCUUUUACUCUAUUACUUUUUCAGAUUAAAAAAAAAAUUCAGUGUUAAAUAAUGCUGCUUAUCAAGGUAAAUAUAGCUUAUCUGAUUAACUUAAAAUAUCACUUUACUUAGAAUUUCAAAACCAAAUUUCCAAGGAAUAAAAAAUAGGACUUUUCAUAGAUAAGAAUAAAAUCAAAAUUGUAAUAAAGAAUUUCUAAUCCUCAUUUAUAAAUGAAGAAACUGAGACACACAGCUACAAAGUAGAAGAAUGGGAUUCAAGUCCAUACAAGAUAUGAGAUAUCUAGGAUAUAAAAUUUUAAAUUAAAAUAAAAUUCCCUUACCUAUAAUCACAAAAAAUUACAGUAUUGAAAACAGGCUAUAUAUAACAUAGCUUCCCAAAUAUUUCAAUUACUAUGAGGGAGGUAAAAAGGAGAAAAAGUGUAA
This is a non-coding RNA of Equus caballus (horse), 2172 nucleotides long. The record is from RefSeq and is a predicted model, not a curated record. NCBI's taxonomy places the organism in Eukaryota, Metazoa, Chordata, Mammalia, Perissodactyla, Equidae.